This 461-nucleotide long non-coding RNA is filed under the name Prunus persica (peach). RNAcentral describes it as "long non-coding RNA (PPER_LNC004244)". Lineage: Eukaryota; Viridiplantae; Streptophyta; Magnoliopsida; Rosales; Rosaceae. The record is from RNAcentral.
AGGGAUUGAGUAUUGUAUUAAUGCUAAUCUUUUUUCCUUUUUCUUUUAAUUUUUCAUUGCAGGGUAGUUAUAAUACCAAGCAAUGUAGAUUUUGGUGAGUGAAACUUGUAAGGAAAAUGGAUACGGCUUAACUGCUUCUUAGUUGGGAGCAGAGACUAAACCCAGUUAAGAAAAAGAAAAAAGAAAAAUAAGGAGUAAUGAUAGCGUUCUUUUACUAAUAUAAUCUCUUUAGUACAUAAAUUUUGGAUGCACAAAAGGAAUCAAACACUAAUUAAUUUUCUGCACAUCACAAAACAUCUGUCUUGCAUCAUCAUGCACACCCUUCAGAACAGAGGAACUCUGCACAUCACAAUAGUAAAAAGAACACAUUAGUCUAACAAAAUCAUAAAUAUCAUAGGGAAAUUUGUAUAAAUAUCACCUAAACUUUUAGGCCUGUGCGCUAUUACCCACAUGAACUUUUA